Molecule: ribosomal RNA, 252 nt
Filed under: uncultured Gardnerella sp.
Lineage: Bacteria; Bacillati; Actinomycetota; Actinomycetes; Bifidobacteriales; Bifidobacteriaceae
Description: partial 16S ribosomal RNA
Rfam family: Bacterial small subunit ribosomal RNA
Source: RNAcentral
CGGGUGAGUAAUGCGUGACCAACCUGCCCCAUGCUCCAGAAUAGCUCUUGGAAACGGGUGGUAAUGCUGGAUGCUCCAACUUGACGCAUGUCUUGUUGGGAAAGUGUUUAGUGGCAUGGGAUGGGGUCGCGUCCUAUCAGCUUGUAGGCGGGGUAAUGGCCCACCUAGGCUUCGACGGGUAGCCGGCCUGAGAGGGCGGACGGCCACAUUGGGACUGAGAUACGGCCCAGACUCCUACGGGAGGCAGCAGAC